This 494-nucleotide ribosomal RNA is filed under the name uncultured bacterium. Its description in RNAcentral is "partial 16S ribosomal RNA". It matches the Rfam family "Bacterial small subunit ribosomal RNA", at positions 31 to 507 of the family's 1533-position model. The record is from RNAcentral.
GAACGCUGGCGGCGUGCCUAAUACAUGCAAGUCGAGCGAACAGACGAGGAGCUUGCUCCUCUGACGUUAGCGGCGGACGGGUGAGUAACACGUGGAUAACCUACCUAUAAGACUGGGAUAACUUCGGGAAACCGGAGCUAAUACCGGAUAAUAUAUUGAACCGCAUGGUUCAAUAGUGAAAGACGGUUUUGCUGUCACUUAUAGAUGGAUCCGCGCCGCAUUAGCUAGUUGGUAAGGUAACGGCUUACCAAGGCGACGAUGCGUAGCCGACCUGAGAGGGUGAUCGGCCACACUGGAGCUGAGACACGGUCCAGACUCCUACGGGAGGCAGCAGUAGGGAAUCUUCCGCAAUGGGCGAAAGCCUGACGGAGCAACGCCGCGUGAGCGAUGAAGGUCUUCGGAUCGUAAAACUCUGUUAUUAGGGAAGAACAAAUGUGUAAGUAACUAUGCACGUCUUGACGGUACCUAAUCAGAAAGCCACGGCUAACUACGUG